UUUCGUUGAGCUGGAAAGGAACGAUGCUGUCGGCGACCGCCACCCAUCUCCUCCGAUCACCACCACCGAAUCCUCCCUCCCGUUCUCUACCCCAUCUUCGCCCUCCGUCAUUGCUUCGAUCUCCCUCCGCGGCGGGUCCUAAUGGUGUCGGCGCUGUCGGCUCUUACAAAACUCCCAAGCCUCAGCGGGAUUUGCUGCGUGAAUGGGUCUGGGAAAAUGAUGGUUUUGUUCGGGUCCUCCCUAUCUACGUUGGUGGAUUCUCCUUGCUCGUUGUCCUUCUCAAUCGCUCUUUUUCCAACAUUCCACCCGUCGCUGAUGCUUCCAGUUCACAGUCAAGGGCAGACAUUUUAUCCCUUGCUUUGGCAGUAACUAAUAUUCUGGCUGGCCUAGUAUGGUUGUCAAUUCGACCAAAGAAUAUUUCUCCGGUUGUUCUUCAUGGUGUAGAAUGUCGGCGGUUAAAUCCUCUAAUUUCCGAACGUGCAGUUCUUGAAAUGCUAUGGGCCUGGGACUCUCUUUCUGCUGUGACCUGUUGCAGAUCUUUAGUUGUUGUGUAUGAUAGCAAUUGUGUUCUUCAAAUUGGUGUUGCAGCUGAAUCCCCCUUAGAAGAUGGUGAUGCAAUGGAUGUUGAUGUGAAAAAACUACUUCAGGGUUCACUUUGCAAAAGUGCCAUGGAAACCCAAAAGCAAAGCUACCUGGCAAAUCUCUCUCUGUAUCCUGGAAAAUCUGAGCUCCCUUUUUUGCCUACAAAUACACAGUCGGUUAUCUUGCAGCCGAUUGGGGACAAUGGAGUUGCAAUAAUUGGUGGCAAUACUAUAAGGGGAUUCAACAAUACUGAUCAGGCGUGGAUCACAUUAAUCGCUGAGAAGCUGGAGGCUACACUAUCAACUUCUUGAGAUAUCCUUGCAUAUUCCAUUCUUUGCAUUCCGCUUCACUUCGCCAUUGUUCACUCAUCUUUCUUCAAGAAGCUAUGGUUAAAAAAUAGGUUUGUGACUGUAGCAACAAUAUUUUUAUUGUUGUAAAACCUUGGGCUUGCCCAUGGUUUUGUGAGUGGGUUGAUAAGUGUUUUGUCAAUUAUUGUAACCAUGGUUAAUUUAGUUAACCUUGGGUUUAGUUACUUAAGGGUCAAGUUUGUGGAGCCUAUAUAAAGCCCCUUAGUUUGUAAGGUGGAGACAUCCAUCCAUACCCCUAACACACUUAUCUCAUCCAUUCUUUGUAUCUACCAUUACCAUUAUGAAAUAAAGAAGUCCCUUCUUUUGUGAAUAUACCUCUCUCUCUGUACUCUUUACUCUUAAGAGCUUCUGUCCUUAUAACCUUUACUUCACUUGGAUGAGCCACACCCAAGUAAAUUGAAAGGCAUCCCCAACGAUCUCAUCUCUCCGUUCCCGUGAGAUUCUAUUGGUAUCAGAGCUAGGGUUUUUUCUUCAACAACGACAACAAAGUAAUAUUUAUCAUGCCGGGGUAAACCCUUAACGGGGUCCCCAACAUGUAGAUAGUAAGUUUUAUCUUGGUAUUAUAGCUUUUAUUGAUUCAUGAAUUUUUAUUAAAAACCCCAAAAAUACGGUUUGUUUUCAAUGAUCUUAGAAGUGGGCUGAAAAGCACAUUUAAUAGUCUUCGUGUAAUUAGAGGUAGCCUACAAUAUAGCAGUAAUCUUGCCUUAGUUUUGACUUCCUUAUUUUAAAACAUAUAUUGAAAGAACAUCUUCUAUUUUGAGUAAUCAUCCAAAUGAAAUGCCUAAGAUUUGAAAAGUGGGGACUCUACAAGGAUCGCUUCAAUACAAAUGUGGAAAGGGUCAGUAGGUCCUAAGACGGUAAGCUUGAAAAAUAUGCAAGGGUAUGUUCAUGAUGAAAAAUUUAGAAGGUUCUUUGAAUAAAUUUUAAAGAAGGAAAGUUAAAAUUUUUAAUUUGAAAAAAAAAAGUGUAACUAAAAGUGAAUCUUUUAUAUGAAAAAAGUUAAUCUAACUGGUAUAAGAAGUAAGACAAAUUGGACAGCCUUAAACAGUACCCAUCAGAGGACAGGAGAUCUGUUUAGGGGAAAACGAGUGUGGAGGUAAGUCUUAACUCUAAAAGUUGGAAAGAUUAUACUUUCACAUUUUAAGAUAUACUCAUGAUGCUUGGUCACUAAGACAGCUUGACUAUAGGUUUUCAACUGUAGCAACAGUAGUUUUGCUGUUGAAUAUCAUGCUUGUAAUAAGUAGGUUUGGUAAGUGUCUUGUUAGCAAUAGGUAAAUUUGGUAUAUGUCAUGUCUUCUACAUGAAGGUUUGGUAUGUGUCAAGUCAUGAAUAGCAUGACUUAAGGGUUAAGUCUUGGAGCCUAUAUAAGGCCCCUUAGUUUGUAAGAUGAGGGCAUCUCAUCCACCCUUAUCCAUCUUGGGAUCCUUGCAUCCUUAGUCUCAUCCUUUGUAUCCCUCUCACAACAAUAAUGCAAUAAAGAAGUCCCUCUUUGUUUAUACAUCUCUCUCCCCUUUAUAUUUAUGUUUAUGCUUCCUUCUCUCUAACUCU
This is an RNA transcript of Dioscorea cayenensis subsp. rotundata (Guinea yam), 2498 nucleotides long. It is a transcript of the gene named protein COFACTOR ASSEMBLY OF COMPLEX C SUBUNIT B CCB4, chloroplastic, with no coding region annotated. Lineage: Eukaryota; Viridiplantae; Streptophyta; Magnoliopsida; Dioscoreales; Dioscoreaceae. The transcript has 8 exons. The record is from RefSeq and is a predicted model, not a curated record.